GCUCAAGAUAUGCUCGUCUCCUCACUUCUAAUUUUAUUCACUUCUUCACAUGAUACUUUCACCCAGAAGUUGGGUCCAGCCUUUCUGCCUUUCUUCCUCCGUUUCCCCAAGUCUGCCAAUUUGAAUAUGCCGGCCGAUUCCCACCAGCCUCCCUUCUUCUUCUGUCUCUGUUCCUCGAUUUUCCUGGAGUUUGCCAUUCCCCGAGUCCUGCCAGCCUCCCUCACUGCCGCUGCCUCCCAAGGCAAUGGCUUCAGGCAUCCGCACAACUCCGGAUGCCUCCGCACAUAGUCCUCAACGCGGUUGUCUGUAAGCGAAUUAUAUAGAUAGAUGAUAACAACAACAACAAUAAUAAAUGUGUAUAUUAAACCCUCAA
This is a long non-coding RNA of Hemicordylus capensis (graceful crag lizard), 373 nucleotides long. RefSeq lists it as uncharacterized. The transcript has 2 exons. Lineage: Eukaryota; Metazoa; Chordata; Lepidosauria; Squamata; Cordylidae. The record is from RefSeq and is a predicted model, not a curated record.